This 272-nucleotide long non-coding RNA is filed under the name Zonotrichia albicollis (white-throated sparrow). RNAcentral's name for it is "lncRNA (ENSZALG00000013573.1)". Lineage: Eukaryota; Metazoa; Chordata; Aves; Passeriformes; Passerellidae. The record is from RNAcentral.
AUAUGGAGAAGGUUAAUAGGGCAGGCUAACAGAGGAGGAGCUGAGUUUGAGAGAGGAGGAGAAGAAUGCCGAAGACAUGGCAGCAGACAGAGGGAAGCAAAACAGAAAAGGCAGCCCCUUUUUGCCAUGUUAAAGUUAACUUAGUCCCCACAGAGAUUUUUGGGGAGGCCAAGGAGUGUGAGAUUUGUGAUUCAGUGUGUGGCUUUGUCACAUGCCUACCCAGGAUGAAGAUGAUAGAAAUCUUGGUGCUAUCUCACUUCAGGUUGGAUUGA